GUCUAGCAUGCGCGCGAGUCUUGGGAAUUUCUUUUCAAUCUCGACUAGACCCAGAGGCGCAAUGAAAGUGAAAGGCCGGCCCUCGGCGGCCGGCCGGAAGGGAAGAUGCGCGGGCGCCGCCGCGCGCCCCGCCGCAUUCCCGAGGCGUUUCGAGAAAGCCCCCGCGCGACUAUCGAGACGCACUGAGAGCGCGCACGCUGGGACCCGAAAGAUGGUGAACUAUGCCUGGUCAGGUCGAAGUCAGGGGAAACCCUGAUGGAGGACCGAAGCGAUUCUGACGUGCAAAUCGAUCGUCGGAACUGGGUAUAGGGGCGAAAGACUAAUCGAACUAUCUAAUAG
Molecule: ribosomal RNA, 339 nt
Filed under: Petrothrincus circularis
Lineage: Eukaryota; Metazoa; Arthropoda; Insecta; Trichoptera; Petrothrincidae
Description: eukaryotic LSU rRNA
Rfam family: Eukaryotic large subunit ribosomal RNA
Source: RNAcentral